AUACGGAGGAUGCGAGCGUUAUCCGGAUUUAUUGGGUUUAAAGGGAGCGUAGGUGGGAUAUUAAGUCAGCUGUGAAAGUUUGGGGCUCAACCUUAAAAUUGCAGUUGAUACUAGUUUCCUUGAGUACGGUAUAGGUGGGCGGAAUUCGUGGUGUAGCGGUGAAAUGCUUAGAUAUCACGAAGAACUCCGAUCGCGAAGGCAGCUCACCGGGCCGGAACUGACACUGAUGCUCGAAAGUGCGGGUAUCAAACAGGAUUAGAUACCCUGGUAGUCCGCACAGUAAACGAUGAAUACUCGCUGUUUGCGAUACACUGUAAGCGGCCAAGCGAAAGCGUUAAGUAUUCCACCUGGGGAGUACGCCGGCAACGGUGAAACUCAAAGGAAUUGACGGGG
Molecule: ribosomal RNA, 393 nt
Filed under: uncultured bacterium
Lineage: Bacteria
Description: partial 16S ribosomal RNA
Rfam family: Bacterial small subunit ribosomal RNA
Source: RNAcentral